UACGGAGGGGGCUAGCGUUGUUCGGAAUUACUGGGCGUAAAGCGCACGUAGGCGGCUCUGUAAGUUAGAGGUGAAAGCCCAGGGCUUAACCCUGGAAUUGCCUUUAAGACUGCAUCGCUAGAAUUGUGGAGAGGUAAGUGGAAUUCCGAGUGUAGAGGUGAAAUUCGUAGAUAUUCGGAAGAACACCAGUGGCGAAGGCGACUUACUGGACACAUAUUGACGCUGAGGUGCGAAAGCGUGGGGAGCAAACAGG
This 253-nucleotide ribosomal RNA is filed under the name uncultured bacterium. Its description in RNAcentral is "partial 16S ribosomal RNA". It matches the Rfam family "Bacterial small subunit ribosomal RNA", at positions 524 to 776 of the family's 1533-position model. The record is from RNAcentral.